UUUCCUAACAUUCCCUCUUUUAAUGUCUUCUAAGAGAUUACACUCUAAAAUAUAAAGUUAAAACAUGAUUUGAAAAAGUAUAACCCUAAAUUCUGAAACACCAUUUUAUAGCUGAAAUAUUAAGCCUCCCUUUUUAGUAUGCAACCUUCUAAAUAACAGUACUUUUGUAAAUGUUGGCAUAUUCACUGUAAAAUAAAUCAGACACCACAUCAUUUAAGGAUAGAGAUUGAAAAUAAAUGUACAAAAUUGCCUGGCCCAGAGUCGUAUCUUAUCAGAAAAUAAUGAUUUGAAAUGCAUAAAUGUAUCAAUCCCUUAAUGUUGUUAUACUUCAAAUGAUUUUUUUCCUAAAGAUUAAAGUUCAAUCAAAUAUUCCCGAUGUAAGAAGUGGGAUGAUACAUAAAUAUUUUUCUUUGAAAUCCCUUGUAGUGAAUUCAGUUGAUGUAAUAAAAGACAAACCCAUUUUAACUUAAACCAAAAGCUGUAAAUUAUGAGAAAUGUUUAGACAUUAUUACCUUGGAUCAACAAUUACACAUAAAACUUCAUCUCAAAGAAAUUAUAUCUUAAACCUCCAGUUGCUGUAAAAAAAGUCAUUGAUUAGUAAUAGUUUUUUUUACAUAUCUUCAUUCUGUGUCUGUGUCCCUUGAUGCUCCUUUAAGUAAAAUAUGAGUUCGUUGGCAAGACGAAAGAUGAAACAACAAAGACGACCCUCUCGUCCCCAGCAGCCCAUUUUCCUUGUAGAUUUUAAACUAACCCUAACACUGCAGAGGAGGUCCUGGAGAUCUGCGCAGCGCUAUCCACCGCACCCCAAAAGCCAGCCAGGACUUUAUGUGCCACAUCCAGGACCAGAGGUGAACGGGACUUGUCAUUUUGGAGAGCAAGAAGACUGUCAGCAGAAGAGGACUUUCAUCAAGAGGUCCAUCACAUGUGACUACCAUGGAAUAUUCACUAUUUCUGCCGAGGCUGGUGGCUUGAGGGGUCCCUGAAGAUGGGACAAGAUGCAUAGAUUUACUUUUUCCAAGUCUGGGGACCAAGGACUUCUGCAUAAACUCUCAGGUUCACCUGUGUGACAGUCAUCCGCAACUCACCAUGUUUAGCUGACCAAUGAACCUUUCUGCCAAAAACUUAAACACCAAAUGUCUGUUAGUGAAGUUCCCAGGCCUGGCAGACCCAUUUCUCCUAAUAAAAACAACAAGAGACAUCAAGCUGGGAGAGGAGAUCUACGUGGACCAUGGGGUGAGGCAGCACUCGUUUAGGGUUGGAAGGCCAGGGGAUGAUCUUAGCUGGAUGGGUGAGGUUGGCUCACCUCCCAAGAGAAAUAGUUUAGUCUUAUUUUUACAAUGUUCUAUUCAAUAAUCAGUUAACAUUUUUAUUUUAAUUUCUUUGACUGUGGUGUUGUAGUAAAAAGUUCAGUGUUUGAGGUUUUAGUGUUGUAAUUGCUCUUUUUUGUGUACUCCAAAGUUCAGUAUGACUUUAAAUUGCGUUGUUGCAAUUAAAGUUUUUGUUUUCUCUUGUGCUGCUGAUAAU
Poecilia latipinna (sailfin molly) is the source of this 1524-nucleotide long non-coding RNA. RefSeq lists it as uncharacterized. Lineage: Eukaryota; Metazoa; Chordata; Actinopteri; Cyprinodontiformes; Poeciliidae. The record is from RefSeq and is a predicted model, not a curated record. The transcript has 2 exons.